RNAcentral lists this ribosomal RNA (420 nucleotides) under Entamoeba ranarum. RNAcentral's name for it is "partial small subunit ribosomal RNA". It matches the Rfam family "Eukaryotic small subunit ribosomal RNA", at positions 1377 to 1686 of the family's 1831-position model. The record is from RNAcentral. Lineage: Eukaryota; Evosea; Mastigamoebida; Endamoebidae.
AUGUGUAAAAACAUACACAAGAAACAUUGAUUUCUUAAAGGGACACGUUUUGAUAGAUUACUCUCGAGUUAGCUACUACAGAAAAUGUGGUACUAAUCCAGGAGUCGUUUAAAGAAAGGGAAGCGUUCAGCAAUAACAGGUCUGUGAUGCCCUUAGACAUCUUGGGCCGCACGCGCGCUACAAUGGAAAAGGAAAAGAGUACAGUUGGAAGAUUAUUUUUAUUGGGACGUUGUUUCAAUAAGAAUGAUACUAUUUGGCUGACCAAUAUUGAAAAGUGGAGGGAAACUCAAAUCUUUGCACAUGACUGGGAUAGACGAUUGGAAUUAUUUGUCUUGAACGAGGAAUUCCUUGUAAUAUCAUGUCACUAGCAUGAGAUGAAUACGUCCCUGCCCUUUGUACACACCGCCCGUCGCUCCUACC